RNAcentral lists this non-coding RNA (44 nucleotides) under Schistosoma haematobium. Lineage: Eukaryota; Metazoa; Platyhelminthes; Trematoda; Strigeidida; Schistosomatidae. The record is from RNAcentral.
GUCCGCUGACGAGUCCCAAAUAGGACGAAAGGUGCGUCCUGGAU